RNAcentral lists this long non-coding RNA (771 nucleotides) under Anas zonorhyncha (Eastern spot-billed duck). RNAcentral describes it as "lncRNA (ENSAZOG00000017281.1)". Lineage: Eukaryota; Metazoa; Chordata; Aves; Anseriformes; Anatidae. The record is from RNAcentral.
CUGGGGCCAGGAGUGAGGGAUCUGCAGCAGCUUCGGGGCUGGACCUGGCACCGCUGUCCUCCCUCCUGCUUCCACCGCCUGUGUUAAAGCUACAGCACUGCCCGGCGUGCUGCGGGGGCGGGAGGUCACAGGUUAAUUGCAAACAGAUGAUUAACUUGGAGCCAGAGGAGGAAAGAGCUCUGUGUCUUGCCGCCUCGCAGCGAUGUGGAAAGCAGCGUGCAGGGGAGUCCGCAAGGACCUGUCCUCCGCAUGUGCUGUGGGGCUCCUCCAGCUCCCAAGUCUUUAACGAAAAGGAGUAGUUUGCAGCACUACCAAACAAAUUACACGUUUGUUUUCUGGCUGUUGGCACUACUGCUGCUGAUAAAAGCAGCUUGUUGUGCUGCGUUAGCCCUGGGAGUGUGGAGGACCCACCUGCCAGACCCCGCUGGGCUGGGGAAGGGUGCAGCUGCAGUUUUCUCAGCAAAACCAAGCCAGGGUCACACAGCUGGGGCAGAGGCAGCUGGAACCAGGGCCAUCGGUACCCCUGUGUGCCCAGGAGAAGGACAGAUGGACUCGGGGCAAGCUAUCACCAGUGCGUGCUCUGCUGGGACAACAGUAGGUCCUGGGCCCCCAGCCCACCUCCUGGAGCAGAUAUCACCCAGGAUCCUGCCAGGCCGGGAGAGAUGCCACAGCUCUCCAGAUCUGCGAGCGUGCCAGCAAAAGGCAGCACAUCCAGCCCCAGAUGCCAGACACAAGGAGCUUGGCUGGCCACAAGCAAACACAAAUGAUUAA